RNAcentral lists this ribosomal RNA (788 nucleotides) under uncultured bacterium. RNAcentral's name for it is "bacterial SSU rRNA". It matches the Rfam family "Bacterial small subunit ribosomal RNA", at positions 117 to 904 of the family's 1533-position model. The record is from RNAcentral.
GUGGAAAACCUGCCGUAUACUGGGGGAUAACACUUAGAAAUAGGUGCUAAUACCGCAUAAGCGCACAGCUUCGCAUGAAGCAGUGUGAAAAACUGAGGUGGUAUACGAUGGUUCCGCGUCUGAUUAGCUAGUUGGUGGGGUAAAAGCCUACCAAGGCAACGAUCAGUAGCCGGCCUGAGAGGGUGAACGGCCACAUUGGGACUGAGACACGGCCCAAACUCCUACGGGAGGCAGCAGUGGGGAAUAUUGCACAAUGGGGGAAACCCUGAUGCAGCGACGCCGCGUGAGUGAAGAAGUAUUUCGGUAUGUAAAGCUCUAUCAGCAGGGAAGAAAUACUGACCAUAGGGUCAGCAGACGGUACUUGACUAAGAAGCCCCGGCUAACUACGUGCCAGCAGCCGCGGUAAUACGUAGGGGGCAAGCGUUAUCCGGAUUUACUGGGUGUAAAGGGAGCGUAGACGGCAGCGCAAGUCUGAAGUGAAAUGCCAGGGCUUAACCCUGGAACUGCUUUGGAAACUGUGCAGCUAGAGUGCAGGAGAGGUAAGUGGAAUUUCUAGUGUAGCGGUGAAAUGCGUAGAUAUUAGGAGGAACACCAGUGGCGAAGGCGGCUUACUGGACUGUAACUGACGUUGAGGCUCGAAAGCGUGGGGAGCAAACAGGAUUAGAUACCCUGGUAGUCCACGCUGUAAACGAUGAUUACUAGGUGUUGGGGGACCAAGGUUCUUCGGUGCCGUCGCAAACGCAAUAAGUAAUCCACCUGGGGAGUACGUUCGCAAGAAUGAAACUCAA